Molecule: long non-coding RNA, 1897 nt
Organism: Lutzomyia longipalpis
Lineage: Eukaryota; Metazoa; Arthropoda; Insecta; Diptera; Psychodidae
Exons: 2
Source: RefSeq, a predicted model, not a curated record
CGUGCGAAAAAAUUUUGAACUUGGCUUUCGGGAGGUUAACUUUUAUUCAGUCAAAAAGUCUCCAAAACGACGAAGGAAGCCGAAGAGUGUGUGCAUGAUAUAUGUUCUUUGUAUGUAUUUGUGUGCUACGCUUAGUUAUAAAUUUUCCAUCCCCACAGGGAAUGGAGUUCAGUCUGAGUCCAGUCAUCAUCAGAGUUCUGUCUGGUGAGAUCUACGAGAGUGUCGAAGACGCCGGGAGUGAAUUUGUGCCUUCCCCGGAACUGCAGCAUCUGUGUCGGACAGCUUCCCGCCAAAAGAAGACGCCGGAAGUGGAUUUGUUCCGUCCCAGGAAUUGCAUCAGCUGCAUCGGAGAGCUUCACGCCAAGGGAACACGCCAGGAGAUUGAGAAGAGUCAGUUGGAAGAUUUGGCGCAUCCCACGGGCCCGAAUCAGACGCAGAGGUCGGUCGUCAAUUGCCGCCUGUGUCUGGACGUUAGAUUGCCAGUCUUACUGGCAAGGAAAAGUGCUUUCCCCGGUCGCAAAUAGCCGGAAGCGUCAGCAGGACAAGGGAAGUAUUCCUCUGACGAUAUAUUCAGGUCGCCAAUUGCCUGAAUCCAGCACAUACGGGUCCCGUGGAGGAGCCAAAGCUCACCUGCCGGUCGUCAAUUGCCGGAUUUACCUGGGAACAUCUUUAUCGCCACCUUUGGUGCGCGGAGAAGUCUGUGGCCUGGUCGUAAAUUGCCAGUGCGCACAGAAACGCUAUCACAUGGUUCCUCAGGUGAGCCAGAUCUCAGACAGAGAGAAUUGAAUCACGCCCACGUAUCCUGCGAGGAGAUAGUGAACUGAGGGAUUCAGCAGGCGAGCCCCUGAACGACGGUGGAGAGUAGAAGAUCCCCGAGGGAGAUCGCAGCAGCAGAAGAACCGCCGUAGAUCGAAGCACCAGCUGGGGAGAAUUCUAUUGUGACUGAGAAGAAGGAUCAAGACCCUGUAGAACUUGAAGGAAGAAUAAAUUAACCCCCUGAGCUAGCCGAGGGAGGGUUUUGAAUCUUAUAUGGCGCCCAACCACCGCUGGAACUCACGCAAGGAAUGGAGUUCAGUCUGAGUCCAGUCAUCAUCAGAGUUCUGUCUGGUGAGAUCUACGAGAGUGUCGAAGACGCCGGGAGUGAAUUUGUGCCUUCCCCGGAACUGCAGCAUCUGUGUCGGACAGCUUCCCGCCAAAAGAAGACGCCGGAAGUGGAUUUGUUCCGUCCCAGGAAUUGCAUCAGCUGCAUCGGAGAGCUUCACGCCAAGGGAACACGCCAGGAGAUUGAGAAGAGUCAGUUGGAAGAUUUGGCGCAUCCCACGGGCCCGAAUCAGACGCAGAGGUCGGUCGUCAAUUGCCGCCUGUGUCUGGACGUUAGAUUGCCAGUCUUACUGGCAAGGAAAAGUGCUUUCCCCGGUCGCAAAUAGCCGGAAGCGUCAGCAGGACAAGGGAAGUAUUCCUCUGACGAUAUAUUCAGGUCGCCAAUUGCCUGAAUCCAGCACAUACGGGUCCCGUGGAGGAGCCAAAGCUCACCUGCCGGUCGUCAAUUGCCGGAUUUACCUGGGAACAUCUUUAUCGCCACCUUUGGUGCGCGGAGAAGUCUGUGGCCUGGUCGUAAAUUGCCAGUGCGCACAGAAACGCUAUCACAUGGUUCCUCAGGUGAGCCAGAUCUCAGACAGAGAGAAUUGAAUCACGCCCACGUAUCCUGCGAGGAGAUAGUGAACUGAGGGAUUCAGCAGGCGAGCCCCUGAACGACGGUGGAGAGUAGAAGAUCCCCGAGGGAGAUCGCAGCAGCAGGAAUUCUAUUGUGACUGAGAAGAAGGAUCAAGACCCUGUAGAACUUGAAGGAAGAAUAAAUUAACCCCCUGAGCUAGCCGAGGGAGGGUUUUGAAUCUUA